RNAcentral lists this ribosomal RNA (496 nucleotides) under uncultured bacterium. RNAcentral describes it as "partial 16S ribosomal RNA". It matches the Rfam family "Bacterial small subunit ribosomal RNA", at positions 29 to 523 of the family's 1533-position model. The record is from RNAcentral.
AUUGAACGCUGGCGGCAUGCUUUACACAUGCAAGUCGAACGGUGGAGGGGACAACCCCUUGAGAGUGGCGAACGGGUGAGUAAUGCAGCGGAACGUGCCCAGUCGUGGGGGAUAACGCAGCGAAAGCUGUGCUAAUACCGCAUACGAUCUCUGGAUGAAAGCGGGGGACCGAAAGGCCUCGCGCGAUUGGAGCGGCCGAUGUCAGAUUAGGUAUUCGGUGGGGUAAAGGCUCACCAAGCCAACGAUCCGUAGCUGGUCUGAGAGGACGACCAGCCACACUGGGACUGAGACACGGCCCAGACUCCUACGGGAGGAAGCAGUGGGGAAUUUUGGACCAUGGGCGCAAGCCUGAUCCAGCAAUGCCGCGUGCAGGAAGAAGGCCUUCGGGUUGUAAACUGCUUUUGUACGGAACGAAAAGGUCUGGGUUAAUACCCUGGGCACAUGACGGUACCGUAAGAAUAAGCACCGGCUAACUACGUGCCAGCAGCCGCGGUAA